AAUCAACGCUGGCGGCGUGCCUAACACAUGCAAGUCGAACGCGAAAGCCCUUUCGGGGGUAAGUAGAGUGGCGUCCGGGUGAGUAACACGUGGGUAAUCUGCCUUCGGGUGGGGAAUAACCCAGGGAAACUUGGGCUAAUACCGCAUAAUGCAGCGGCACCUAAUGGUGAUUAGUUGUUAAAGCGGGGGAUCGCAAGACCUCGCGCCUGAAGAGGAGCCUGCGGCAGAUUAGCUAGUUGGUGAGGUAAUGGCUCACCAAGGCUGCGAUCUGUAGCUGGUCUGAGAGGACGGCCAGCCACACUGGCACUGACACACGGGCCAGACUCCUACGGGAGGCAGCAGUGGGGAAUUUUGGGCAAUGGGCGCAAGCCUGACCCAGCAACGCCGCGUGAGGGAGAAAAUCCUUCGGGAUGUAAACCUCACAAGCAAGGGAAGAGAGCUACGGGCUGAAUAAUCCCGUGGUACGACGGUACCUUGCGUAAGCCACGGCUAACUACGUGC
RNAcentral lists this ribosomal RNA (501 nucleotides) under uncultured bacterium. RNAcentral describes it as "bacterial SSU rRNA". It matches the Rfam family "Bacterial small subunit ribosomal RNA", at positions 32 to 508 of the family's 1533-position model. The record is from RNAcentral.